GUGAGGAAUAUUGGACAAUGGGCGCAAGCCUGAUCCAGCCAUGCCGCGUGCAGGAAGACGCAUCUAUGGUGUGUAAACUGCUUUUGUACGGGAAGAAACACUCCCUCGUGAGGGAGCUUGACGGUACCGUAAGAAUAAGGAUCGGCUAACUCCGUGCCAGCAGCCGCGGUAAUACGGAGGAUCCAAGCGUUAUCCGGAAUCAUUGGGUUUAAAGGGUCCGUAGGCGGUUUAAUAAGUCAGUGGUGAAAGCCCAUCGCUCAACGAUGGAACGGCCAUUGAUACUGUUAGACUUGAAUUACAAGGAAGUAACUAGAAUAUGUAGUGUAGCGGUGAAAUGCUUAGAUAUUUCAUGGAAUACCAAUUGCGAAGGCAGGUUACUACUUGUGGAUUGACGCUGAUGGACGAAAGCGUGGGGAGCGAACAGGAUUAGAUACCCCUGUAGUCC
Molecule: ribosomal RNA, 445 nt
Filed under: uncultured bacterium
Lineage: Bacteria
Description: partial 16S ribosomal RNA
Rfam family: Bacterial small subunit ribosomal RNA
Source: RNAcentral